GAGUUUGAUCGUGGCUCAGAUUGAACGCUGGCGGCAUGCCUUACACAUGCAAGUCGAACGGUAACGCGGGGCAACCUGGCGACGAGUGGCGAACGGGUGAGUAAUGUAUCGGAACGUGCCCAGUAGUGGGGGAUAGCCCGGCGAAAGCCGGAUUAAUACCGCAUACGACCUACGGGUGAAAGGGGGGAGUCGCAAGACCUCUCGCUAUUGGAGCGGCCGAUAUCAGAUUAGGUAGUUGGUGGGGUAAAGGCCUACCAAGCCGACGAUCUGUAGCUGGUCUGAGAGGACGACCAGCCACACUGGGACUGAGACACGGCCCAGACUCCUACGGGAGGCAGCAGUGGGGAAUUUUGGACAAUGGGAGCAACCCUGAUCCAGCCAUGCCGCGUGAGUGAAGAAGGCC
Molecule: ribosomal RNA, 403 nt
Filed under: uncultured beta proteobacterium
Lineage: Bacteria; Pseudomonadati; Pseudomonadota; Betaproteobacteria
Description: bacterial SSU rRNA
Rfam family: Bacterial small subunit ribosomal RNA
Source: RNAcentral